RNAcentral lists this ribosomal RNA (2902 nucleotides) under Escherichia coli. Its description in RNAcentral is "bacterial LSU rRNA". It matches the Rfam family "Bacterial large subunit ribosomal RNA". Lineage: Bacteria; Pseudomonadati; Pseudomonadota; Gammaproteobacteria; Enterobacterales; Enterobacteriaceae. The record is from RNAcentral.
UUAAGCGACUAAGCGUACACGGUGGAUGCCCUGGCAGUCAGAGGCGAUGAAGGACGUGCUAAUCUGCGAUAAGCGUCGGUGAGGUGAUAUGAACCGUUAUAACCGGCGAUUUCCGAAUGGGGAAACCCAGUGUGUUUCGACACACUAUCAUUAACUGAAUCCAUAGGUUAAUGAGGCGAACCGGGGGAACUGAAACAUCUAAGUACCCCGAGGAAAAGAAAUCAACCGAGAUUCCCCCAGUAGCGGCGAGCGAACGGGGAGGAGCCCAGAGCCUGAAUCAGUGUGUGUGUUAGUGGAAGCGUCUGGAAAGGCGCGCGAUACAGGGUGACAGCCCCGUACACAAAAAUGCACAUACUGUGAGCUCGAUGAGUAGGGCGGGACACGUGGUAUCCUGUCUGAAUAUGGGGGGACCAUCCUCCAAGGCUAAAUACUCCUGACUGACCGAUAGUGAACCAGUACCGUGAGGGAAAGGCGAAAAGAACCCCGGCGAGGGGAGUGAAAAAGAACCUGAAACCGUGUACGUACAAGCAGUGGGAGCCUCUUAAUGGGGUGACUGCGUACCUUUUGUAUAAUGGGUCAGCGACUUAUAUUCUGUAGCAAGGUUAACCGAAUAGGGGAGCCGAAGGGAAACCGAGUCUUAACUGGGCGUUAAGUUGCAGGGUAUAGACCCGAAACCCGGUGAUCUAGCCAUGGGCAGGUUGAAGGUUGGGUAACACUAACUGGAGGACCGAACCGACUAAUGUUGAAAAAUUAGCGGAUGACUUGUGGCUGGGGGUGAAAGGCCAAUCAAACCGGGAGAUAGCUGGUUCUCCCCGAAAGCUAUUUAGGUAGCGCCUCGUGAAUUCAUCUCCGGGGGUAGAGCACUGUUUCGGCAAGGGGGUCAUCCCGACUUACCAACCCGAUGCAAACUGCGAAUACCGGAGAAUGUUAUCACGGGAGACACACGGCGGGUGCUAACGUCCGUCGUGAAGAGGGAAACAACCCAGACCGCCAGCUAAGGUCCCAAAGUCAUGGUUAAGUGGGAAACGAUGUGGGAAGGCCCAGACAGCCAGGAUGUUGGCUUAGAAGCAGCCAUCAUUUAAAGAAAGCGUAAUAGCUCACUGGUCGAGUCGGCCUGCGCGGAAGAUGUAACGGGGCUAAACCAUGCACCGAAGCUGCGGCAGCGACACUAUGUGUUGUUGGGUAGGGGAGCGUUCUGUAAGCCUGUGAAGGUGGCCUGUGAGGGUUGCUGGAGGUAUCAGAAGUGCGAAUGCUGACAUAAGUAACGAUAAAGCGGGUGAAAAGCCCGCUCGCCGGAAGACCAAGGGUUCCUGUCCAACGUUAAUCGGGGCAGGGUGAGUCGACCCCUAAGGCGAGGCCGAAAGGCGUAGUCGAUGGGAAACAGGUUAAUAUUCCUGUACUUGGUGUUACUGCGAAGGGGGGACGGAGAAGGCUAUGUUGGCCGGGCGACGGUUGUCCCGGUUUAAGCGUGUAGGCUGGUUUUCCAGGCAAAUCCGGAAAACCAAGGCUGAGGCGUGAUGACGAAGCACUACGGUGCUGAAGCGACAAAUGCCCUGCUUCCAGGAAAAGCCUCUAAGCAUCAGGUAACAUCAAAUCGUACCCCAAACCGACACAGGUGGUCAGGUAGAGAAUACCAAGGCGCUUGAGAGAACUCGGGUGAAGGAACUAGGCAAAAUGGUGCCGUAACUUCGGGAGAAGGCACGCUGAUAUGUAGGUGAAGCGACUUGCUCGUGGAGCUGAAAUCAGUCGAAGAUACCAGCUGGCUGCAACUGUUUAUUAAAAACACAGCACUGUGCAAACACGAAAGUGGACGUAUACGGUGUGACGCCUGCCCGGUGCCGGAAGGUUAAUUGAUGGGGUUAGCGGUAACGCGAAGCUCUUGAUCGAAGCCCCGGUAAACGGCGGCCGUAACUAUAACGGUCCUAAGGUAGCGAAAUUCCUUGUCGGGUAAGUUCCGACCUGCACGAAUGGCGUAAUGAUGGCCAGGCUGUCUCCACCCGAGACUCAGUGAAAUUGAACUCGCUGUGAAGAUGCAGUGUACCCGCGGCAAGACGGAAAGACCCCGUGAACCUUUACUAUAGCUUGACACUGAACAUUGAGCCUUGAUGUGUAGGAUAGGUGGGAGGCUUUGAAGUGUGGACGCCAGUCUGCAUGGAGCCGACCUUGAAAUACCACCCUUUAAUGUUUGAUGUUCUAACGUUGGCCCGUAAUCCGGGUUGCGGACAGUGUCUGGUGGGUAGUUUGACUGGGGCGGUCUCCUCCUAAAGAGUAACGGAGGAGCACGAAGGUUGGCUAAUCCUGGUCGGACAUCAGGAGGUUAGUGCAAUGGCAUAAGCCAGCUUGACUGCGAGCGUGACGGCGCGAGCAGGUGCGAAAGCAGGUCAUAGUGAUCCGGUGGUUCUGAAUGGAAGGGCCAUCGCUCAACGGAUAAAAGGUACUCCGGGGAUAACAGGCUGAUACCGCCCAAGAGUUCAUAUCGACGGCGGUGUUUGGCACCUCGAUGUCGGCUCAUCACAUCCUGGGGCUGAAGUAGGUCCCAAGGGUAUGGCUGUUCGCCAUUUAAAGUGGUACGCGAGCUGGGUUUAGAACGUCGUGAGACAGUUCGGUCCCUAUCUGCCGUGGGCGCUGGAGAACUGAGGGGGGCUGCUCCUAGUACGAGAGGACCGGAGUGGACGCAUCACUGGUGUUCGGGUUGUCAUGCCAAUGGCACUGCCCGGUAGCUAAAUGCGGAAGAGAUAAGUGCUGAAAGCAUCUAAGCACGAAACUUGCCCCGAGAUGAGUUCUCCCUGAGACUUAGAGUCUCCUGAAGGAACGUUGAAGACGACGACGUUGAUAGGCCGGGUGUGUAAGCGCAGCGAUGCGUUGAGCUAACCGGUACUAAUGAACCGUGAGGCUUAACCUU